RNAcentral lists this ribosomal RNA (492 nucleotides) under uncultured bacterium. RNAcentral describes it as "partial 16S ribosomal RNA". It matches the Rfam family "Bacterial small subunit ribosomal RNA", at positions 29 to 507 of the family's 1533-position model. The record is from RNAcentral.
AGUGAACGCUGGCGGUAGGCCUAACACAUGCAAGUCGAACGGCAGCACAGUAAGAGCUUGCUCUUACGGGUGGCGAGUGGCGGACGGGUGAGGAAUACAUCGGAAUCUACUUUUUCGUGGGGGAUAACGUAGGGAAACUUACGCUAAUACCGCAUACGACCUACGGGUGAAAGCAGGGGAUCUUCGGACCUUGCGCGAUUGAAUGAGCCGAUGUCGCAUUAGCUAGUUGGCGGGGUAAAGGCCCACCAAGGCGACGAUACGUAGCUGGUCUGAGAGGAUGAUCAGCCACACUGGAACUGAGACACGGUCCAGACUCCUACGGGAGGCAGCAGUGGGGAAUAUUGGACAAUGGGCGCAAGCCUGAUCCAGCCAUACCGCGUGAGUGAAGAAGGCCUUCGGGUUGUAAAGCCCCGUUGUUGGGAAAGAAAAGCAGCAGGUUAAUACCCCGCUGUUCUGACGGUACCCAAAGAAUAAGCACCGGCUAACUUCGUG